CCUACGGGUGGCAGCAGUGGGGGAUAUUGCACAAUGGGGGAAACCCUGAUGCAGCGACGCCGCGUGGGUGAAGAAGUAUUUCGGUAUGUAAAGCCCUAUCAGCAGGGAAGAAAGAAGACGGUACCUGACUAAGAAGCCCCGGCUAACUACGUGCCAGCAGCCGCGGUAAUACGUAGGGGGCGAGCGUUAUCCGGAUUCACUGGGGGUAAAGGGAGCGUAGACGGCCGUGCAAGCCAGGAGUGAAAGCCCGGGGCCCAACCCCGGGACUGCUCUUGGAACUGUGCGGCUGGAGUGCGGGAGGGGCAGGCGGAAUUCCUGGUGUAGCGGUGAAAUGCGUAGAUAUCAGGAGGAACACCGGCGGCGAAGGCGGCCUGCUGGACCGCGACUGACGUUGAGGCUCGAAAGCGUGGGGAGCGAACAGGAUUAGAUACCCCAGUAGUC
Molecule: ribosomal RNA, 441 nt
Filed under: uncultured bacterium
Lineage: Bacteria
Description: partial 16S ribosomal RNA
Rfam family: Bacterial small subunit ribosomal RNA
Source: RNAcentral